UGUGUAGGCGGUUCUUUAAGUUUGCUGUGAAAUCUCCCGGCUUAACCGGGAGGGUGCGGUGAAUACUGAGGGACUAGAGUACGGGAGAGGAAAGUGGAAUUCCUGGUGUAGCGGUGAAAUGCGUAGAUAUCAGGAGGAACACCGGUGGUGUAGACGGCUUCUGACCGACACUGACGCUGAGACACGAAAGACGUGGGUAGGCAAAACA
This 208-nucleotide ribosomal RNA is filed under the name uncultured bacterium. Its description in RNAcentral is "partial 16S ribosomal RNA". It matches the Rfam family "Bacterial small subunit ribosomal RNA", at positions 568 to 776 of the family's 1533-position model. The record is from RNAcentral.